GGAAUAUUGGACAAUGGGCGCAAGCCUGAUCCAGCCAUGCCGCGUGUGUGAAGAAGGCCUUCGGGUUGUAAAGCACUUUCAGCGGGGAGGAAGGGUGUUGUGUUAAUAGCACAGCAUUUUGACGUUACCCGCAGAAGAAGCACCGGAUACCUCCGUGCCAGCAGCCGCGGUAAUACGGGGGGGGCAAGCGUUGUUCGGAAUUACUGGGCGUAAAGGGCUCGUAGGCGGCCAACUAAGUCGGAUGUGAAAUCCCCAGGCUCAACCUGGGAACUGCAUCCGAUACUGGAUGGCUUGAAUCCGGGAGAGGGAUGCAGAAUUCCAGGUGUAGCGGUGAAAUGCGUAGAUAUCUGGAGGAAUACCGGUGGCGAAGGCGGCAUCCUGGACCGGCAUUGACGCUGAGGAGCGAAAGCCAGGGGAGCAAAC
RNAcentral lists this ribosomal RNA (423 nucleotides) under uncultured bacterium. RNAcentral's name for it is "bacterial SSU rRNA". It matches the Rfam family "Bacterial small subunit ribosomal RNA", at positions 358 to 773 of the family's 1533-position model. The record is from RNAcentral.